This 468-nucleotide ribosomal RNA is filed under the name uncultured bacterium. Its description in RNAcentral is "partial 16S ribosomal RNA". It matches the Rfam family "Bacterial small subunit ribosomal RNA", at positions 28 to 507 of the family's 1533-position model. The record is from RNAcentral.
GACGAACGCUGGCGGCGUGCUUAACACAUGCAAGUCGAACGGAAAGGCCCUGCUUUUGUGGGGUGCUCGAGUGGCGAACGGGUGAGUAACACGUGAGUAACCUGCCCUUGACUUUGGGAUAACUUCAGGAAACUGGGGCUAAUACCGGAUAGGAGCUCCUGCUGCAUGGUGGGGGUUGGAAAGUUUCGGCGGUUGGGGAUGGACUCGCGGCUUAUCAGCUUGUUGGUGGGGUAGUGGCUUACCAAGGCUUUGACGGGUAGCCGGCCUGAGAGGGUGACCGGCCACAUUGGGACUGAGAUACGGCCCAGACUCCUACGGGAGGCAGCAGUGGGGAAUAUCGCACAAUGGGCGGAAGCCUGAUGCAGCAACGCCGCGUGCGGUAUGACGGCCUUCGGGUUGUAAACCGCUUUCGCCUGUGACGAAGCGUGAGUGACGGUAAUGGGUAAAGAAGCACCGGCUAACUACGUG